This 256-nucleotide ribosomal RNA is filed under the name uncultured bacterium. RNAcentral's name for it is "partial 16S ribosomal RNA". It matches the Rfam family "Bacterial small subunit ribosomal RNA", at positions 524 to 776 of the family's 1533-position model. The record is from RNAcentral.
UACGAAGGUGGCAAGCGUUACUCGGAUUUACUAGGCGUAAAGGGCAGGUAGGUGGUUUGAUAAGUCUGCUGUGUAAGCUCCCGGCUUAACUGGGAGAGGUCAGCGGAAACUAUCAGGCUUGAGUAUGGGGAGAGGGUACUGGAAUUCCUGGUGUAGCGGUGAAAUGCGCAGAUAUCAGGAGGAACACCAAUGGCGAAAGCAGGUACCUGGACCAUUACUGACGCUGAGAAGCGAAAGCAUGGGGGAGCGAAACAGG